Molecule: long non-coding RNA, 1163 nt
Filed under: Rattus norvegicus (Norway rat)
Lineage: Eukaryota; Metazoa; Chordata; Mammalia; Rodentia; Muridae
Description: long non-coding RNA NONRATT001669
Source: RNAcentral
GAUGGAUGGAUGAUGGAUGGAUGGAUGGAUGAUGGAUGGAUGGAUGGGGAUAAAGAGCAUCUGUUAGGUCAGACUCUUCACGUAGGCUACACUAAGACACAUCAGUUGUCAUCUAUAAUUUAGGUGAACAGUUAGACUUGUGGGGAAGGAUACAGUUGGUUAGUGGUAGAUAACUUCACUGGGUUUCAGAUCAGGAUGGGCAUGGGAUAUAAAGCCACUUGAGUGCACACGAGUGUGUGGGUGUUGUUUGUCCUGCCCUUAACUAGACCUGAGUGCUACGUCCAGCUAUCUGACCCGCCUGUUGUGAUUACUGUGAGCAUGUGCCCACAUGGAAGAUCACGCUUAGGACUGUUUGCACCCCUUUGUUUAGUUUCAAAGACAUGAGUAAGCCAUGGGGUAGUGCGUGCGUUUAACCUCAGCACACAGCAGAGGCAGGCCAACAUGGGCUAUAUGGUGAGACCUUUUCUUAAAGAGAAAGGAAGGCUGCACACAACCAGGGUAAGUGGAACCACUGUGGCUGUUGAUGACACAGCAUCCAUUCGAUAAUGUUUGCACUUGUCCAUUCUAAAUAAGUCUUACUUCCUGGAAUGUGACUUGGAAAUUGAGGCAGAAUAGUGCAGAGCAUCCUGUGAAGAUGAACAGGUUUCUUGGGAUGCUGGAUCUAGAGGCAUUUAUUACUGGUGCUUCUUUAGUUUCAAAAAACAUUGUAGUUUAUAACAGGAAAAGACUAACUACUUCAUUAUUUCAUUUGCUGCUAUUUGUGGUUUCUGUUGUAUUUUCAGUGCUGGGCCAGUGACCUACCACUGCACUGGAUCCUUCCUUGGGGGUGUGUGUGUCUGUCUGUCUGUCUGUACGUGUGUGCGUGCGUGUCUGUGCAUGUGUCUAUGUGUGUGUGUCUGUGUAUAUGCGUCUGCGUGUCUGUGCGUGCGUGUGUGUGUGUCUGUGUUCAUCCCUGCAUACACAUGUACAUCAGUGGCUGCACCUCUGGCCUCUGGAGGUCAGAAGACAACUCUUGGGAGCUGGUUCUCUCUCUAUACCACAUGGUUCUCUGUGGAGAGUCUCUCAUACCAAGAGACUCAUACCAAGUUCCUUUUCUGAUGAGCCAUCCCAUUGCCCCCAACUCUUCCAGCCCCACCUUUUUAAUUAAAAACAUCUGCUCAUGG